UCUUGGUAGGUGAGUUGUCCCCAAGUACUAGAUCACAAGAAAAGCUUCUACAGACUUUCAUGACCUCUUGUACAUAUUCUCUAGCAAAAAAUCUUUGGAGUGGAAUUGUUGAGUUAGAUGGCUAAUUGUACACAUUUUACCUUGUAAGAAAUGCCAACAUAUUUUCUAUAGUGAUAGUACAUUUACAUUCCCACCAGCAAUAUCUGAGAGUUCUGGUUUUUGAACAUCUUCACCUAUGUUUGGUAUUGUUGGUUGUUAAACCUUUGCUUUGGUGAUCUCUUAAUUUGCAUCUCUUCCUGAUGACUAAUGAUACCAAAUACCUUUUGGUGUUCUUAUGAUCUGUUCUGAUGUCUUUGGAGAAGAGGCUGCUUUAAUUUCUUGUCUAUUUUUUAUUGGGUAAUCUUAAAUUGUAAAAUGUCUACACAUUUUGGAUAUAAGAGCUUACCAGAUAUAAUUCACAAAAAAAUCUACCAUUUUGUGGAUUGUCUGUGUUGGUAUAUUUUGAAGCUCAAUUU
Molecule: long non-coding RNA, 515 nt
Organism: Perognathus longimembris pacificus (Pacific pocket mouse)
Lineage: Eukaryota; Metazoa; Chordata; Mammalia; Rodentia; Heteromyidae
Exons: 2
Source: RefSeq, a predicted model, not a curated record